UUGUUUAUAAACAUUUAUUUCCUGGUAUCAAUAAUCAGACAGGAUUCCUGUCAUUUCAACAGGUGAACACACCUCUGCUGUCAGAGGGGGCGGAGCCUCAUGUGGAUCCGGUUCAGGAUCUGGAGAAUCAGGUUCAUUUCUCCUGUUCGCUCCGACUCGAUUUGUGUGAACAGAAGGAGAAGCAAAGAUCUGAUCAGGUGAUUUACACUGAGAGGUUCUGGUCGGGUUCUGGAACUGGAAAACGGACCUGGUGGAGCUCAGAGACAGAAAUGAAUGAAGUCCAACAGAACUAUGAGGAAACUGAAGCUCCUGACCUUUGAUCUACUCAUAGCUCGAUGGCUCAAUGAGGAAACCGAAGCUCCUGACCUUUGAUCUACUCAAAGCUCGAUGGCUCAAUGAGGAAACUGAAGCUCCUGACCUUUGAUCUACUCAAAGCUCGAUGGCUCAAUGAGGAAACUGAAGCUCCCCGCCUUUCCUCAGAACUGAUCUGGAUCAGAACCUUUUCAUCUGAAUCAGCCAACCAGCAGUGGAGUUUCCUCCCUGUGUGUUGAUGGGUAUUUUUCCUUUCGAACCUUCAUUAAAAGAACCACAGACAACGUAUAUGAAUUUUAUGACCAAGCUUUUGCAAAAGGAGAAGAUUCAGCAAACUGCUCCUCCGAGCCGUUCACAGAGCGUUCUGAAGAGCCUUGGUUACAGCUUGUCUUUUAUUAUCAGGCAAAAAGAGGGAGGAUAGGUAAGGAAGACAGCAGAGA
This is a long non-coding RNA of Poecilia latipinna (sailfin molly), 752 nucleotides long. RefSeq lists it as uncharacterized. NCBI's taxonomy places the organism in Eukaryota, Metazoa, Chordata, Actinopteri, Cyprinodontiformes, Poeciliidae. The record is from RefSeq and is a predicted model, not a curated record. The transcript is spliced from 2 exons.